GACGAACGCUGGCGGCGUGCUUAACACAUGCAAGUCGAACGGAAAGGCCCUGCUUUUGUGGGGUGCUCGAGUGGCGAACGGGUGAGUAACACGUGAGUAACCUGCCCUUGACUUUGGGAUAACUUCAGGAAACUGGGGCUAAUACCGGAUAGGAGCUCCUGCUGCAUGGUGGGGGUUGGAAAGUUUCGGCGGUUGGGGAUGGACUCGCGGCUUAUCAGCUUGUUGGUGGGGUAGUGGCUUACCAAGGCUUUGACGGGUAGCCGGCCUGAGAGGGUGACCGGCCACAUUGGGACUGAGAUACGGCCCAGACUCCUACGGGAGGCAGCAGUGGGGAAUAUUGCACAAUGGGCGGAAGCCUGAUGCAGCAACGCCGCGUGCGGGAUGACGGCCUUCGGGUUGUAAACCGCUUUCGCCUGUGACGAAGCGUGAGUGACGGUAAUGGGUAAAGAAGCACCGGCUAACUACGUGCCAGCAGCCGCGGUGAUACGUAGGGUGCGAGCGUUGUCCGGAUUUAUUGGGCGUAAAGGGCUCGUAGGUGGUUGAUCGCGUCGGAAGUGUAAUCUUGGGGCUUAACCCUGAGCGUGCUUUCGAUACGGGUUGACUUGAGGAAGGUAGGGGAGAAUGGAAUUCCUGGUGGAGCGGUGGAAUGCGCAGAUAUCAGGAGGAACACCAGUGGCGAAGGCGGUUCUCUGGGCCUUUCCUGACGCUGAGGAGCGAAAGCGUGGGGAGCGAACAGGCUUAGAUACCCUGGUAGUCCACGCUGUAAACGGUGGGUACUAGGUGUGGGGUCCAUUCCACGGGUUCCGUGCCGUAGCUAACGCUUUAAGUACCCCGCCUGGGGAGUACGGCCGCAAGGCUAAAACUCAAAGGAAUUGACGGGGCCCCGCACAAGCGGCGGAGCAUGCGGAUUAAUUCGAUGCAACGCGUAGAACCUUACCUGGGUUUGACAUGGAUCGGGAGCGCUCAGAGAUGGGUGUGCCUCUUUUGGGGUCGGUUCACAGGUGGUGCAUGGCUGUCGUCAGCUCGUGUCGUGAGAUGUUGGGUUAAGUCCCGCAACGAGCGCAACCCUUGUUCACUGUUGCCAGCACGUUAUGGUGGGGACUCAGUGGAGACCGCCGGGGUCAACUCGGAGGAAGGUGGGGAUGUCGUCAAGUCAUCAUGCCCCUUAUGUCCAGGGCUUCACGCAUGCUACAAUGGCUGGUACAGAGAGUGGCGAGCCUGUGAGGGUGAGCGAAUCUCGGAAAGCCGGUCUCAGUUCGGAUUGGGGUCUGCAACUCGACCUCAUGAAGUCGGAGUCGCUAGUAAUCGCAGAUCAGCAACGCUGCGGUGAAUACGUUCCCGGGGCU
RNAcentral lists this ribosomal RNA (1346 nucleotides) under uncultured bacterium. Its description in RNAcentral is "bacterial SSU rRNA". It matches the Rfam family "Bacterial small subunit ribosomal RNA", at positions 28 to 1381 of the family's 1533-position model. The record is from RNAcentral.